This 359-nucleotide ribosomal RNA is filed under the name uncultured bacterium. Its description in RNAcentral is "bacterial SSU rRNA". It matches the Rfam family "Bacterial small subunit ribosomal RNA", at positions 1 to 334 of the family's 1533-position model. The record is from RNAcentral.
GCACUGUAGUCAGAGUUUGAUCCUGGCUCAGGACGAACGCUGGCGGCGUGCUUAACACAUGCAAGUCGAACGAAGGGAAGUGGGAGCUUGCUCCUAUGGAACUUAGUGGCGAACGGGUGGGUAACGCGUAAUCAACCUGCCCUUCAGAGGGGGACAACAGAUGGAAACGUCUGCUAAUACCGCAUACGUUCUUGUUAUCGCAUGAUGAUGAGAAGAAAGGUGGCCUCUUGAAAAAGCUACCACUGAAGGAGGGGAUUGCGUCUGAUUAGCUAGUUGGAGGGGUAACGGCCCACCAAGGCGGUGAUCAGUAGCCGGUCUGAGAGGAUGAACGGCCACAUUGGGACUGAGACACGGCCCAA